Molecule: non-coding RNA, 48 nt
Organism: Schistosoma rodhaini
Lineage: Eukaryota; Metazoa; Platyhelminthes; Trematoda; Strigeidida; Schistosomatidae
Source: Rfam
AUACAGCUGACGAGUCCCAAAUAGAACGAGACGCGCGUCAAAAUGGAU